This 469-nucleotide ribosomal RNA is filed under the name uncultured bacterium. RNAcentral's name for it is "bacterial SSU rRNA". It matches the Rfam family "Bacterial small subunit ribosomal RNA", at positions 329 to 793 of the family's 1533-position model. The record is from RNAcentral.
CUCCAGACUCCUACGGGAGGCAGCAGUGAGGAAUAUUGGUCAAUGGGAGAGAUCCUGAACCAGCCAAGCCGCGUGAGGGAAGACGGCCCUAUGGGUUGUAAACCUCUUUUGUCGGAGAACAAAACCCGGGACGUGUCCCGGACUGCGUGUAUCCGAAGAAAAAGCAUCGGCUAACUCCGUGCCAGCAGCCGCGGUAAUACGUAGGUGGCAAGCGUUAUCCGGAUUUACUGGGUGUAAAGGGCGAGUAGGCGGGAUUGCAAGUCAGAUGUGAAAACUAUGGGCUCAACCGAUAGAGUGCAUUUGAAACUGCAGUUCUUGAGUGAUGGAGAGGCAGGCGGAAUUCCCGGUGUAGCGGUGGAAUGCGUAGAUAUCGGGAGGAACACCAGUGGCGAAGGCGGCCUGCUGGACAUUAGCUGACGCUGAGGCGCGAAAGCGUGGGGAGCAAACAGGAUUAGAUACCCUAGUACUG